YYCUAAACCGAAGGCCUUCAAAGCCUUAGACAAGAGUUCAACCCUCUUAGUUUCUG
RNAcentral lists this transfer RNA (56 nucleotides) under Pachyplichas yaldwyni. Its description in RNAcentral is "partial tRNA-Trp". It matches the Rfam family "tRNA", at positions 16 to 71 of the family's 71-position model. Rfam says of the family: Transfer RNA (tRNA) molecules are approximately 80 nucleotides in length. Their secondary structure includes four short double-helical elements and three loops (D, anti-codon, and T loops). Lineage: Eukaryota; Metazoa; Chordata; Aves; Passeriformes; Acanthisittidae. The record is from RNAcentral.